UGGGGCGUAGCCAAGCUGGUAAGGCGCCUGACUCUGGAUCAGGAGAUCGAGGGUUCGAAUCCUUCCGCCCCAGCCA
RNAcentral lists this transfer RNA (76 nucleotides) under Candidatus Dormiibacterota bacterium. RNAcentral describes it as "tRNA-Gln". It matches the Rfam family "tRNA". Rfam says of the family: Transfer RNA (tRNA) molecules are approximately 80 nucleotides in length. Their secondary structure includes four short double-helical elements and three loops (D, anti-codon, and T loops). The record is from RNAcentral. RNAcentral also lists the same sequence under 2 other names. Lineage: Bacteria; Bacillati; Candidatus Dormiibacterota.